This 117-nucleotide ribozyme is filed under the name Aedes aegypti (yellow fever mosquito). Its description in RNAcentral is "drz-agam-1 ribozyme". It matches the Rfam family "drz-agam-1 ribozyme". The record is from Rfam by way of RNAcentral. Lineage: Eukaryota; Metazoa; Arthropoda; Insecta; Diptera; Culicidae.
UGCCCAGCAACUCCUACCCCUACCUCCUCGUGGUACUGGCCGGGGUACGAGUAACCUUGGGGAAGAUCGGGUAACCAACCCCCGGUGGGAACUUUGGUCGUAUGCUGACAGGGAAGG